CGGUGUUCAACUGGCGUGUCCGCGGGACGUCCUGCCGGUGGGCUUAGCCCGCAAGGGCGGCCCAACUUCAAAUCCCAUCGCGGUGCUCUUCACUGAGUGUCGAGGUGGGCCGGCACGUUUACUUUGAACAAAUUAGAGUGCUUAAAGCAGGUUAAAACUUCGCCUGAAUACUGUGUGCAUGGAAUAAUGGAAUAGGACCUCGGUUCUAUUUUGUUGGUUUUCGGAACCCCGAGGUAAUGAUUAAUAGAAACGGAUGGGGGCAUUCGUAUUGAAAUUCUUGGAUCGUCGCAAGACGGACAGAAGCGAAAGCAUUUGCCAAAAACGCUUUCAUUGAUCAAGAACGAAAGUUAGAGGUUCGAAGGCGAUCAGAUACCGCCCUAGUUCUAACCAUAAACGAUGCCAGCUAGCGAUCCGUCGACGUUCCUCCGAUGACUCGACGGGCAGCUUCCGGGAAACCAAAGCUUUUGGGUUCCGGGGGAAGUAUGGUUGCAAAGCUGAAACUUAAAGGAAUUGACGGAAGGGCACCACCAGGAGUGGAGCCUGCGGCUUAAUUUGACUCAACACGGGAAACCUCACCAGGCCCGGACACCGGAAGGAUUGACAGAUUGAGAGCUCUUUCUUAAUUCGGUGGGUGGUGGUGCAUGGCCGUUCUUAGUUGGUGGAGCGAUUUGUCUGGUUAAUUCCGAUAACGAACGAGACUCUAGCCUGCUAACUAGGCGUAUUUUCGACAUCUCAAAGGUCCGUCGUCCCGGCCCUCGGGUCGUGGGCGUGCGCGAUUUUUACUGUCGGCGUACUAUCAAUUCUUCUUAGAGGGACAGGUGGCUUCUAGCCGCUCGAGAUUGAGCAAUAACAGGUCUGUGAUG
This 863-nucleotide ribosomal RNA is filed under the name uncultured eukaryote. RNAcentral describes it as "SSU rRNA". It matches the Rfam family "Eukaryotic small subunit ribosomal RNA", at positions 636 to 1469 of the family's 1831-position model. The record is from RNAcentral.